This is a long non-coding RNA of Cydia splendana, 235 nucleotides long. RefSeq lists it as uncharacterized. NCBI's taxonomy places the organism in Eukaryota, Metazoa, Arthropoda, Insecta, Lepidoptera, Tortricidae. The record is from RefSeq and is a predicted model, not a curated record. The transcript is spliced from 2 exons.
AAGAGUGUAUUUUUCAUAUUCUUCUUCUUCUGGUGCCAUGCCCAGUCUAAUGGGCGUCGGCGGUCAGCAUGGCAUUCAGCUCUCUGUAUUUAAUGUUAUCUAUCCAUUUAUUUCUAGGUCUACCUCUCCCUCUUUUUCCCUCAUACUUUCCCUCGAUGAUUGUCUGCAAUAAGUCGUAUUUUUCAUUUCUAUAGAUGUGACCCAGAUAGGCUGUUUUUCUUUUCUUAAUGAUGUU